GAUGAACGCUAGCGGCAGGCCUAAUACAUGCAAGUCGAGGGGUAGAAGAGGCUUGCUUCUUUGAGACCGGCGUACGGGUGCGUAACGCGUAUGCAACCUACCUUCAUCUGGGGGAUAGCCCGGAGAAAUCCGGAUUAAUACCGCAUAAAAUCACAGGAUGGCAUUAUCCAAUGAUCAAACAUUUAUGGGAUGGAGAUGGGCAUGCGUGUCAUUAGCUAGUUGGCGGGGUAACGGCCCACCAAGGCGACGAUGACUAGGGGAUCUGAGAGGAUGGCCCCCCACACUGGUACUGAGACACGGACCAGACUCCUACGGGAGGCAGCAGUAAGGAAUAUUGGUCAAUGGAGGCAACUCUGAACCAGCCAUGCCGCGUGCAGGAAGACUGCCCUAUGGGUUGUAAACUGCUUUUAUUCGGGAAUAAACCUUAUUACGUGUAAUAAGCUGAAUGUACCGAAGGAAUAAGGAUCGGCUAACUUCGUGCCAGCAGCCGCAGUAA
This 496-nucleotide ribosomal RNA is filed under the name uncultured bacterium. RNAcentral's name for it is "partial 16S ribosomal RNA". It matches the Rfam family "Bacterial small subunit ribosomal RNA", at positions 28 to 523 of the family's 1533-position model. The record is from RNAcentral.